UCUACCAAUCAGCAAAACGCUCCAACGAGCUCGCAAACUGUAGUAUCACGUAACCAGGUCCAUUUAGCUGCUCUGUCAUACAGAGAGACAGUUUCUUCAGACUCCGGACAACGUGGUAUGAACCAGUGGUGAGUCUCGUCUAAUGGAGAGGAAAACCUGGCAAACACCUGGUAACAACAUGGAUAAUGUAGGCUAGAUGAGUUGUGCGCACUCGGAAACGAAUUGGUCUCUAAUUCAAACCCCCAGAAGUGACAUUUGGACUUCUACAUUGCCGUGGGUGUCUAAGAACCAAUGAAUGCCACUGCUUGGAUAAUGGAGGUUUGGAUGAGUUCAAACCACGACGGGUCUCGCAGCCGCUACUGGUAACGGUUUAGGCUAAAUGUUUGGUCACCUAAUGCGCGGUGCUAUAACAUCUCCAACAGAAACAGAAAGAUUUCCGACUGAUGUGAAACAUUUCAACUGAUCUAAGAUCUCGGGAGCUGUUAGGUUAAAAUCAGAGAGCUGCUGAUGAAAUAUAGCCAUAUAUACGUGGUUAUAUUACGGCUUUUGUUUUUUUAUAACGCUGGGAAACCCGUUAAACACCUGUUUAGAGUCGAGACGCGUAAUCCCAUGUUGGAGAGAUCACAAGAAAUGGUUGGGUUGCAGAGAAGAGGGGAAUUUGACAUUCUCUCUGUGUCACUCAUAGUGGCGUUGAUGUGCUGUGCGCAGAGCGCCAACGAACCGGGGAAUAUGUCUUUCGUAAAAGAGACGGUGGACAAACUGUUAAAGGGGUAUGAUAUCCGCCUUCGACCAGACUUUGGAGGCAAACCGGUUUCUGUUGGCAUGAGUUUAGAUGUGGCAAACAUCGACAUGGU
Oncorhynchus masou masou (cherry salmon) is the source of this 854-nucleotide long non-coding RNA. RefSeq lists it as uncharacterized. The transcript has 3 exons. The record is from RefSeq and is a predicted model, not a curated record. Lineage: Eukaryota; Metazoa; Chordata; Actinopteri; Salmoniformes; Salmonidae.